Molecule: long non-coding RNA, 325 nt
Filed under: Mustela putorius furo (domestic ferret)
Lineage: Eukaryota; Metazoa; Chordata; Mammalia; Carnivora; Mustelidae
Description: lncRNA (ENSMPUG00000026624.1)
Source: RNAcentral
CCCAAGACCCAGACGAUCUGGCUUUCUCUUCACAGAGUGGUCUACACAGCAGCACCUGAACCUCACUGCUGACUCGGCCGUCCUCCGAGCCGCCUCUGAUGCGCGGUACAUCCCUGACCAGCCUCUUCCUGCCUCAGAUAUUGAUCAUUUUAGAUAUCCUAAUAAAUCUUCAGUAAAUUAUCUUCAUUCUCUUGGAAGCAAUGGACUUAAGUUCUUAAAAGCCCAGUACAGACAAUUUCUUCCCUCACUAAAAUACAUCCUUUGCAGGUUGGUACACUGCGGAGAGAUUGCUACAGCAGAAGCCAAUAGACUCAAUUUGGUUUGA